AGCAGUGGGGAAUUUUCCGCAAUGGGCGAAAGCCUGACGGAGCAAUACCGCGUGAGGGAGGAAGGCUCUUGGGUUGUAAACCUCUUUUCUCAGGGAAGAACACAAUGACGGUACCUGAGGAAUCAGCAUCGGCUAACUCCGUGCCAGCAGCCGCGGUAAUACGGAGGAUGCAAGCGUUAUCCGGAAUGAUUGGGCGUAAAGCGUCCGCAGGUGGCAAUGUAAGUCUGCUGUUAAAGAGUGAGGCUCAACCUCAUAAAAGCAGUGGAAACUACAUAGCUAGAGUGCGGUAGGGGCAGAGGGAAUUCCUGGUGUAGCGGUGAAAUGCGUAGAUAUCAGGAAGAACACCGGUGGCGAAAG
RNAcentral lists this ribosomal RNA (357 nucleotides) under uncultured Nostoc sp. RNAcentral describes it as "bacterial SSU rRNA". It matches the Rfam family "Bacterial small subunit ribosomal RNA", at positions 350 to 721 of the family's 1533-position model. Lineage: Bacteria; Bacillati; Cyanobacteriota; Cyanophyceae; Nostocales; Nostocaceae. The record is from RNAcentral.